CGGGUAGGCCGGGUGAUCGCUGUUCUGGGUCUCGCUUGGAGUCUCAGAAGGGAGGAAAGUCCGGACUCCGCAGGGCAACGCGCCUGGUAACGCCAGGGGGUCGUCGCGGCCGCUCCCCGAGGGAGCGGGUGCGGCGGCUACGGAAAGUGCCACAGAGAAUAGACCGCCGAAGUGCUCCGGCUCUGUGACAGGUUCGAGGCACGCCUCGAACACGUCUUCCACUGCCGGCACUGGCAAGGGUGAAACGGUGGGGUAAGAGCCCACCGCCCCGACAGCAAUGUCGGGGGCACGGUAAACCCC
RNAcentral lists this RNase P RNA (300 nucleotides) under Bacillota bacterium. Its description in RNAcentral is "partial RNase P RNA component class A". It matches the Rfam family "Bacterial RNase P class A", at positions 1 to 214 of the family's 367-position model. From Rfam's summary of the family: Ribonuclease P (RNase P) is a ubiquitous endoribonuclease, found in archaea, bacteria and eukarya as well as chloroplasts and mitochondria. Lineage: Bacteria; Bacillati; Bacillota. The record is from RNAcentral.